RNAcentral lists this non-coding RNA (24 nucleotides) under Arabidopsis thaliana (thale cress). Lineage: Eukaryota; Viridiplantae; Streptophyta; Magnoliopsida; Brassicales; Brassicaceae. The record is from RNAcentral.
GGGCAGAAAUUUGAAUGAUGCGUC